GGGCUCGUGGUCUAGUGGUGAUGACGCUUCCCUUACAAGGAAGAGGCCGGCGGUUCGAACCCGCCCGAGCCCA
RNAcentral lists this transfer RNA (73 nucleotides) under Halobellus ruber. Its description in RNAcentral is "tRNA-Val". It matches the Rfam family "tRNA". From Rfam's summary of the family: Transfer RNA (tRNA) molecules are approximately 80 nucleotides in length. The record is from RNAcentral. Lineage: Archaea; Methanobacteriati; Methanobacteriota; Halobacteria; Halobacteriales; Haloferacaceae.